AAUCAAUUUUCAGAGAAAAGAAUGGAGAACCCAAAACUGUUACUCCAAACAGUUCCUCAAGCUCCUC
Molecule: transfer RNA, 67 nt
Filed under: Pseudo-nitzschia pungens
Lineage: Eukaryota; Bacillariophyta; Bacillariophyceae; Bacillariales; Bacillariaceae
Source: RNAcentral